AACGAACGCUGGCGGCAUGCCUAACACAUGCAAGUCGAACGAGACCUUCGGGUCUAGUGGCGCACGGGUGCGUAACGCGUGGGAACCUGCCUUUAGGUUCGGAAUAACUCAGAGAAAUUUGAGCUAAUACCGGAUGAUGUCUUCGGACCAAAGAUUUAUCGCCUUUGGAUUGGCCCGCGUUGGAUUAGGUAGUUGGUGGGGUAAUGGCCUACCAAGCCGACGAUCCAUAGCUGGUUUGAGAGGAUGAUCAGCCACACUGGGACUGAGACACGGCCCAGACUCCUACGGGAGGCAGCAGUGGGGAAUCUUAGACAAUGGGGGAAACCCUGAUCUAGCCAUGCCGCGUGAUCGAUGAAGGCCUUAGGGUUGUAAAGAUCUUUCAGGUGGGAAGAUAAUGACUGUACCACCAGAAGAAGCCCCGGCUAACUCCGUG
This 433-nucleotide ribosomal RNA is filed under the name uncultured bacterium. Its description in RNAcentral is "bacterial SSU rRNA". It matches the Rfam family "Bacterial small subunit ribosomal RNA", at positions 29 to 507 of the family's 1533-position model. The record is from RNAcentral.